RNAcentral lists this ribosomal RNA (570 nucleotides) under endosymbiont of Polyrhachis lamellidens. Its description in RNAcentral is "bacterial SSU rRNA". It matches the Rfam family "Bacterial small subunit ribosomal RNA", at positions 812 to 1380 of the family's 1533-position model. The record is from RNAcentral. Lineage: Bacteria; Pseudomonadati; Pseudomonadota; Gammaproteobacteria; Enterobacterales; Enterobacteriaceae.
UCGAUUUGAAGGUUGUAAUCUUUGAAUUAUGGCUUUCGGAGCUAACGCGUUAAAUCGACCGCCUGGGGAGUACGGUCGCAAGGUUAAAACUCAAAUGAAUUGACGGGGGCCCGCACAAGCGGUGGAGCAUGUGGUUUAAUUCGAUGCAACGCGAAGAACCUUACCUACCCUUGACAUCCAAAGAACUGCGUAGAGAUACACAGGUGCCUUCGGGAGCUUUGAGACAGGUGCUGCAUGGCUGUCGUCAGCUCGUGUUGUGAAAUGUUGGGUUAAGUCCCGCAACGAGCGCAACCCUUAUCCUUUGUUGCCAUCGAGUUAUGUCUGGAACUCAAAGGAGACUGCCGGUGAUAAGCCGGAGGAAGGUGGGGAUGACGUCAAGUCAUCAUGGCCCUUACGGGUAGGGCUACAAACGUGCUACAAUGGUAAAUACAAAGAGAAGCGAUCUUGUAAAAGUCAGCAAACCUCAUAAAAUUUAUCGUAGUCCGGAUUGGAGUCUGCAACUCGACUCCAUGAAGUCGGAAUCGCUAGUAAUCGUGAAUCAGAAUGUCACGGUGAAUACGUUCCCGGGCC